AUGGCUUUCGGCCCCGCCGUCGCCUUCGGGCUCCUCUCGCUCUUCCUCGUUGCCGAUGUUUCUCCAUCUAAUAAUUGCAUAAAACUUGACAUCUUGGGCGGAACCGUCACCAUGAGACAAAUGGGUCGCAGAGCAAGAUUUUCAUGUAGAAAGCCUUAUCGUCUGUUUGGUCCAGCUGCGUCAACAUGCUUCAGAGGCCGAUGGUCCCCUGCGCCACCUAAAUGUGGAAUUGACUGCCCUAUAACCAGUGUAAAAAUGGUCAACCGCAGUAGGCUGUUUGUCUCCAGCUCAGUGUGUGAACGCGGCUACGAGGCUGUUCCAUUCAUAACAGCACAUUGUGAGGAUGAAACUGGACUGUCAAGCAAAUCUUAUCCGAUCUGCAUAGCUGAGGCCUGUGCUGAAACUUAUACAUUUUUUAAUUCUAAUGACUGUAAUGUAUUUGCCGCUAGGAACUUGAAUGAAUUGUAUGUUUCUUGCAAGCCUGGAUUUUCACCACUUGGCCGUGAUAAAGUUGAUUGUGAUUCACACUAUGGCCUCACUUUUGCUGGAUGCCGAGGUACAUCCGUGCAAUUAUCUUGUGACUUUGAAUUAAUAUCGGAGCCCUACUGCGGAUGGGGCCGGCCAUCGGGAUCUGAUGAUGCUUUUUUGUGGUUUCGCAAGGCGCGAGUACAAAGACGUGACCUAUUUGUUAGUCGCUCACUCUGGGAAACUUUACCCGUUACUGAUCAUACUUCAGAGGUAAAGGGAGGAGGUGGUAUGUCAGGUAGUUACUUGUACCUCCCUGCAGCAUAUUUGAAGAUGGGUGACCGAGUUCGCCUCUUCUCCCCCGAGUAUGAUCUCAGAUCAAACGAAAGUCUCUCACACUGUUUUACUUUUUGGUAUCACAUGAAAAGCAGGUCAGUUGGGGAGCUAAACAUUUAUAUUAAUGACGAGCUACGGUGGACUAUAGCUGGUGAGCAAGGCAGCGUUUGGAAUGAAGGAUUUGUUCCACUUCCUAAUGAUUUUGUUCAUAUUAUUGUCGAAGCUACUCGUGGCUAUGCAGCAGAUAGUUACAUUGCAAUCGAUGACUUUGCCAUUACCAACUCUGAACAAGCUUAUGAUCAUGAAUGUUUUGCACAAGACGCAGAGAAAAGCAAUGAAUAUGCUCCUACCACGCCAAAAAUGAGAUGCUAAACUCAGAUGAUGAUUCUGUAGAAACAACUGAUCCACCAGCAAAUGAGCCGACACCCUCCAUACAUUUUAACAACACUGCGUCUCAGAAGAUAUCAUCCAAAGAAGUUACCACUAUUAGUUUCUCUCAAGAUUCUACCAUCCCUGCAAAUGUUUCUGUAGAAACGAUGUCCUCCUCAAGUCCCCCAACUCCCAUCUUUGGUACCUCUGCUCUUCCGCAAGGACUCUUUUCAAGACCGUCUCAUGAAGCCUCUACUACUCUGAACACUACCAUCAAAGAGCAUUCAGUUGCCCCGACCAGCCUAAAAAAAAAUAUUAAUAUCUCCUCAGGUACCUCUCCAGAAACUUUUUCAAGCUCACAUCAUGAGAUCAAUGUAUUUUCGACUGCUGCUCAUGAUGUUUCGCAUGUUCCAGACGGGCCGCAAGAAACAUCCAACUCCUCAGAGACACCGAAAGUUACUUUGCCUCUGGUUGAGACCGUAACCUCACAAAGUUCUCUUGACUCAAUCUCAAUAAAAAUGGGGGAGUUCAAACCUCUUGAUCAUUCUAACACACUCACAGAACCUUCUCUAGUCAAGAACUUAUCUUUGCCGACCGACAGCCCUGCAAAGCAAACCCUUUCUGAAAUGCUGACCGUGUCAACAAGCACGCUCACUUCUACCUUUCAAACUGCGGUCAGUGCUCAGUAUGAACCCGCAGACAAUAAGUCUGCAGUGGUGCAAAAAGCUGUAACCAUUUCUCAUGCAGAAGUUUCAACAUCUCCUCAGCCAAAACAAAGCCCUAGCCCAGAAGAUUCAGUAAAAACUUCUAUUGACUAUAAAAAUGAGAUAGUGCCAACCAAGUUGUUACCAGACACUCUUGAAGGCGUACACUUUAAUGCUCACAAUAUCGAUAGAAGUAAAUGGGCAAUAACUAGUUCGAAUAUUUUACCAGUAACAGAAAGAGGAUUGGCGUCUGGUGUUUAUCCAAAGGACAGUGCAAAAACAAGUGAAAAUGAGUCAAUCAGAGGAAACAGUAUCGAAGGCUCAGAGACUGUCAGUGACACCCACUCGCUGUUUGAUGAUGCGCUAGAUCCAGAUUCUGUAGAUGAAACCCACUACUCAGACAUAGUCAAACUCUCUAGCCCAGAUGUGCAUAAUGGUGACAAAUUAUUUGUCUCAAAACCCCCUUCAAUAGGGACCAUUCAUGUUAACUUUCCUAAUGAUCUCACUAACGGAAUGGAUGAAGGUGAUAAUAGUCCUGCUAAAAGUGACUGCAGCUCAAUAAAUUGUGUCAGGCACGAUUUAAAUGAUGAAAUUUCCAAAAAUUCAGAAAGUCCAAUCUCCAAAGCUACAAAAAAUAAUGCGUUAUACAGAGAGAACCAUGAGGGGCUUAAACCAGAAGUUUCAGCAGAAGGAUCCGGAGCAGAUAACUCUCAUCUCAAAGGCCCUCAGUUAACUACAACAAAAAUAAAUUCGAAAAUGCACUACUUCA
RNAcentral lists this long non-coding RNA (2643 nucleotides) under Bemisia tabaci. RNAcentral's name for it is "lncRNA ENSSSA1NGG006888". The record is from RNAcentral. Lineage: Eukaryota; Metazoa; Arthropoda; Insecta; Hemiptera; Aleyrodidae.